Cygnus atratus (black swan) is the source of this 556-nucleotide long non-coding RNA. RefSeq lists it as uncharacterized. Lineage: Eukaryota; Metazoa; Chordata; Aves; Anseriformes; Anatidae. The transcript has 3 exons. The record is from RefSeq and is a predicted model, not a curated record.
UAUGUGAGCGAGCCCCUACCUGGUUCGGAGCAGCUGCUGGCAAGGUGAGGAGCCCUGAUCCGAGCAUCCCAAGCCCCUCCACUGGAAGUGGUACGCGUUUACUCUCACGUCUGUCGUCAAAGCUGCAGCACCCUUGGAACUGCUGCUGUCCAUGCUGGCACCUCCUGAAAGAGUUUGUCAACACGUGCCUAAGCGGUUUGCAGCUUGAUUUUUGCGACGUGCCAGUCCCGUGUGCAUCCCCUCCAGAUGUAUGUAUAGGGCGUGGGUUCGCUUCCCCCCGCCUUGUGGUCCUGCAGCGGCUCCUGAGCAAAGAAAGCCCAGAACCAUGCCAUGGCGCCCAGAGGAAUGCAGAGCUCACCCAUCUUUGCUCCGUUCCCAGCACCAGCACUUAAAAUCGUAUCGUCACUCAAACAGGUGCCUUCCCUCUUUAUUCCGGGAAGUUUAAUGAAAGCACAAAAAGCGGAGCUGAUCUCUCUGGGAGAGAACCGAGUGCCUUCCCCCGGCUCUGGCCGACUUCCGUGCUCGUUGGGGCAAUUUGGAUGCCACUUUCUGCUCU